AAAAACCAAAACAUAAGCAAAUGAAACACAAUCUCCACAGGAAAUUUUGACAUAAUUACUGUGACUCAGCUUAUUAAUAUUAGCCAUAUUACAUAACUGUUGGUCUUGAUGCUUUCUUCUUGGCUUGUGACAAUGCUACUGGGCAUUAAUGGAGAUAAAAGAAUUUGUCAGGUACGAAGCUGAAAAUCCAGAUUUUCAGGUUUUUCAGUCACCCUUUCCACAUACAACGUAAGAAGGGUCUCCACUGGGCAGUCACCCACCGCGGUGCUCCUUAACACCGAAACAGGGCAGGGUGCAUCGGAAGAGGGUUUCAUCCCCUGCGAAUGGUCUCGUGGGGUAGCACCAGGAUUUAAUUAAAGGUGAAAUUGUGUUAUGAGCGAUGUAGUCUGGCUAAGGACUCUGACCACGGAAGUGGGGUCAGGAGGUGCAAAAAUUACUUAGAAACUUCAUGGCUUGAAGGUAGCUCAGGUGGACACAGGUCACAGUCAGGCUGAGCAAAAAUUAAAUGUUUCAGCUCAUUUCGACAAGACAGCUGUUCUUUGUGAGGGUUUGGGGUUUUUUUUAAUAAACACAACUGAAACAUUUUCUUUUUAUUUUAUACUUAUAUGGGGUGAUUUAAGCAAAAUUCAAAUGUACUUGUGGGAAAUUCCCUUUUGAUCUAAAUCAUAUUUUCUGAGACAAAAGUGCUGUGAUGAGAAAGUGAGAAAGUUCUGAACAACCCAUAUUUCAACAUUUCUUUUAGUUAUUCAUGACAAGCAAUGCUCUGCAUAUUAAAGUAUUUGAUUUCAUCUUGUUUCAUGAUGUAACUGAGUGAUCCCUGUAUGUUCACAUGCUUUUUAUUGCCAGUAACCAGUGCUGGCUGGGUACGAGGUGCAGGUGACAGACACCAUGAGAGCAAUGCCGGUUUAUAUGACUUUCCACUAGCUACAUAAACAAGUAGGAUGGCCACCAGUCAUCACUGUUGUACAGGGAAAUUCAGCCUAAACAUGAUCUGAAGCCCUGUAAAUACAGGAUACAAAUGCAGCUGCUUCCCAGGACGAUGCAUGAGUCAACUCCAGCCGAACAGAGUGAAAAUGCCAGAAAUAAAGGAGAGGAGCUACUUUGCAGAAUUUCCAGUGGUUUUACAGACUGAAUUUCAAAUUUGUAGAAAUCUGCCCUGGGAAGGGGCUGCUGGCGAAGCUGGGGGCUGGUCUGCUCAGCCGCUGUCGCAGGGAGCGGCCAAAGCUGGAACCGGUUCCCGAAGUGUUCAUGGUCUGGUGGCUCACCAGGACUUUGGUUCGAGACAUCAGAUUCUAAUCAAUGAAUUUUGGGAGACGUGCGCGCAGCUGCAUGGACCGUCUCGAACAGUGUCUGUCGGUCGGUGAGGAGCUGGUCCGUCUGCCCCGUCACGUCAGCGGUCCCAUGUGCUGGGGAGGAGGCACCGCUUGAUACAUUGUUUAUAGCCAGAAGAGGUACGGGAUGAAGCCAAGCCUGGGAAACCUCCCCCUUUGGAAGCAGGGAUGCGGAUUCUCAUGGAGCAGCAGUUGAUGGUCGGCAUACCCAGCAGCUCUGGCCGGCGGCUGGGUGAUGGCUGUGGGAAAGCUCUCGCCGUCCGGCGGCUGUCGGGUGUCUAAUGUGACAAGGGGACACCGCAGGGAAAAGUGGAAGAAAGACGGUGGAGUUAGUCCUGAAUCUGAAUUCAGGUUCACAGCCAUGUGCUUUGCAACUAGUAAAGAUUAAGAUCUUAAUUUUGGCAUUUCUUGUGCAUUCUGUGGCCAGAACACGGCCCCGUGUCUGCUCUGUGUAAGAGCCUUGGGAAUGCUGGUGUGCGGGGUGUGUAUUUUUAGGUCACUUCUUCCAGAAAGGUGGAUUCGUUUCGAUGGAACCAGCCGACCACUUCGGCACUCAGCCAUGUUGUGAUGGAGAAGAAGGACAGUUUCCACCUUACAUGAUCUUGCUGUCAGAGGUUGUGACCUUGCUCUCAUGUUUGUUACUGCUUGAUUUGUCUUCACUAACUUUCAGACUCUGACCCUGCCAAGAUCAUUAUCAGACCGUCUCUGGAUUUCAGUGGCCAAGCACUCAAAGCAGGGGCCCCCAGCAAGGGCUUCCUCUGCCUAACACAAAAUAAAGACCAACCUCUGCUGAACUAAUUCAUCCCACUUUAAUCCCUCUCUUCAGGAGGUCUCUUUGCCCUCCUGGAACCACCUGGUUCAUUAGAAAUUGGAUUUUGAAUGUAUUAGAAAUGUAGAGCUCAUAUUCCCACAGGCACGUGGGGACGAGGUGGAAUGAAUGUGUAUAUUGUGUCUUAAUAAUCUGGUCUUCUGGGGUUGUCAGACUUUUUGAAGGGGGUUUGAAACGGGGACCAGUUUAACCUCACACAAGGCAUUGCGUCCUCACUUUUACCUAACUGUACAACUCCAUAUAGAUUUCCUGACCUCAAAUAUAGUGCUAUACACUAAUCGGAUAUUAUUUAGAAAGUAUUUGGUAAGUAACAUCUGCCGCACUGAAAAUUAAAUUAAGGGUGUUAAAUAGAAGUUUAAAGAAAACAGGUUUUGGGAAAAAAAAUCUUUGAAGAUACCUGUUUUAGUUCAGAUUUCAAAUUUAAAUUUCCUUAGAGAUGUUGGCAGGAUUAAUUUUGCUUUUGUACAUGCAACAUAUUUGUUCAUCUAUGCCAUUAUACAGCUCCUUUCAAGUGGAAUAUUAUACUGGAAUACAGCAAAAGCCACAUUUAAGAUAUGAAACUGGAGGAGAACAUAUUUCAUACUGCAUAAAAUGCACCUCUGGAAUUUUCAGUUCUUCUUUUCUGCAGUAUUACAAAUGCCUUUAUAAAGUAUCAUGGCUCAUGAGCUAAAAAGAAAAAAAAAAAAAGAAAAAACCCUGUGGCUUUGGAUAUAUUCACUUCAAGUUUGUGGUUAAUAUUUCCCAGGCUGCUUAGAGGUGAGCGUAAGUUCAGUCGUCGCACUGCUGCUUCACCAGUCUCUGCCGGUGUUUCUAGAUGACUCUGAUAAAAGAUUGUGAAAAAUGGACCUGCGGUAAAUCGCAUCAUCCUUGUUAUGCAUUGUAAGAUGGGGACACAACUCAAGCUGGGUGUCUGGGUCACGCUCAGCCUUCCCUCGCACUCCUCCUCCAUCCCCGCAGCAGCCGCCGGUGCCGUUCAGCCGGCGCAGCCCACGGUGGGUGCAAACCCGCUGCGUUCUGCUGCGAAUUCGUUGCGUAACGCUGCGUUUCUAGCCGUGCUGUUUUCCUCCUUUGCACUAGAGAUUUUGCAUUAGCUAGCGGUCAUGGAGACACCAGAUUUCGCUUUGGUGGAAGAUAAAAAAAAGCUUAAAUAGGGACCGAGCCCAGAGGCUGCUCUGGGUGGACCUCGCGAGCCGCUGUGCACAGGACCCCCCUCAGCUACAAGUGUUCAAGUGGUGUGAGACCGGUCUGAACCGAGAAAUCCUAGAUCAGCCCUUCACUUUCCCACUGCCGGUACCCUGAACUGCGCAACCGCUCUUUAAACCCCUUUCUUUCCAAAAUACAAAGAGCUUUUUCCUUCUUAAUCACUGAGAGGUUUUACUUUAACCUCAUUAAACUCCAUUGCCAAAAUCCGAAGCAGAUUGAGAUGAAGCAGCUGAUAGGUGAGAACACGAGUUACAAACUGGUGCUGAAGAAAUGCUUGCAAUAAAACAGCCUCUCUAUAUGUGUCUUUAAACAAUGUAAAUCGCCGUGAGUUACAAUGGGAAGAAGUGGGGAGUCCCCAUUUGGCAGAGUUACGUUAGAAAUUAAACCAAGGCCGGUCUCUCUGGGUACAGCCAGGGCUGUUGGCUGCUGGCUCGUUCCAUGCGGUUGGGUGUUGUGAUGCUGGGAUAUAUUUGUGUGUUUUAUUUGUAUGUAAAUAUAAGAAAGCAGAAACAUAA
Long non-coding RNA from Harpia harpyja (harpy eagle), 3878 nucleotides. RefSeq lists it as uncharacterized. The record is from RefSeq and is a predicted model, not a curated record. The transcript has 3 exons. Lineage: Eukaryota; Metazoa; Chordata; Aves; Accipitriformes; Accipitridae.